RNAcentral lists this ribosomal RNA (497 nucleotides) under uncultured bacterium. Its description in RNAcentral is "partial 16S ribosomal RNA". It matches the Rfam family "Bacterial small subunit ribosomal RNA", at positions 28 to 507 of the family's 1533-position model. The record is from RNAcentral.
GAUGAACGCUGGCGGCGUGCCUAACACAUGCAAGUCGAGCGAACGGACGAGAAGCUUGCUUGUCUGAUGUUAGCGGCGGACGGGUGAGUAACACGUGGAUAACCUACCUAUAAGACUGGUACAACUUCGGGAAACCGGCGCUAAUACCGUAUAAUAUUUUGAACCGCAUGGUUCAAAAGUGAAAGACGGCCUUGCUGUCUCUUAUAGAUGCUUCCGCGCUGCAUUAGCUAGUUGGUACGGUAACGGCUUACCAAGGCAACGAUGCGUAGCCGACCUGAGAGGGUGGUCGGCCACACUGGAACUGAGACACGGUCCAGACUCCUAAGGGAGGCAGCAGUAGGGAAUCGUCGGCAAUGGGCGAAAGCCUGACGGAGCAACGCCGCGUGAGUGAUGAAGGCCUUCGGAUCGUAAAACUCUGGUGCUGGGGAAGAACAUCUGUGUAAGUAAAUGUGGAGAUCUUGACGGUACCUAAUCAGAAAGCCCCGGCUAACUACGUG